Molecule: ribosomal RNA, 459 nt
Filed under: uncultured bacterium
Lineage: Bacteria
Description: partial 16S ribosomal RNA
Rfam family: Bacterial small subunit ribosomal RNA
Source: RNAcentral
CCUACGGGUGGCAGCAGUGAGGAAUAUUGGUCAAUGGGCGGAAGCCUGAACCAGCCAAGUAGCGUGCGGGAUGAAGGCCCUACGGAUCGUAAACCGCUUUUGCACGGGGAUAACACCCGCCACUUGUGGAUGUCUGCAGGUACCGUGCGAAUAAGGGCCGGCUAAUUCCGUGCCAGCAGCCGCGGUAAUCCGGAAGGCCCGAGCGUUAUCCGGAUUCAUUGGGCUUAAAGGGAGCGUAGGCGGGCGUUAAAGUCAGCUGUAAAAUCGCGCGGCUCAACCGCGCCCCGCAGUUGAAACUGGAUGGCUUGAGUGCACAAGAGGUAGGCGGAAUUCGUGGUGUAGCGGUGAAAUGCAUAGAUAUCACGAGGAACCCCGAUUGCGAAGGCAGCCUGCCGGGGUGCGACUGACGCUGAGGCUCGAAGGUGCGGGUAUCAAACAGGAUUAGAUACCCCUGUAGUC